RNAcentral lists this transfer RNA (88 nucleotides) under Proteus mirabilis. RNAcentral's name for it is "tRNA-Ser". It matches the Rfam family "tRNA". Rfam says of the family: Transfer RNA (tRNA) molecules are approximately 80 nucleotides in length. Their secondary structure includes four short double-helical elements and three loops (D, anti-codon, and T loops). RNAcentral also lists the same sequence under 1 other name. The record is from RNAcentral. Lineage: Bacteria; Pseudomonadati; Pseudomonadota; Gammaproteobacteria; Enterobacterales; Morganellaceae.
GGAAGGAUGGCCGAGUGGCUGAAGGCAGCGGUCUUGAAAACCGCCGAUGGGAAACCAUCCUAGAGUUCGAAUCUCUCCUCCUCCGCCA